GAUGAACGCUAGCGGCAGGCCUAAUACAUGCAAGUCGGACGGGAUUGUGGAGCUUGCUUCACAUGAGAGUGGCGCACGGGUGCGUAACACGUAUGUAACCUACCCUUGUCAGGGGGAUAGCCUCUCGAAAGAGAGAUUAAGACCGCAUAACAUUGUUUUGUGGCAUCACAGAACAAUCAAAUAUUUAUAGGACAAGGAUGGGCAUGCGGAACAUUAGCUAGUUGGAAAGGUAACGGCUUACCAAGGCUACGAUGUUUAGGGGAUCUGAGAGGAUGGCCCCCCACACUGGUACUGAGACACGGACCAGACUCCUACGGGAGGCAGCAGUAAGGAAUAUCGGUCAAUGGGCGGAAGCCUGAACCAGCCAAGUAGCGUGCAGGAUGACGGCCCUAUGGGUUGUAAACUGCUUUUAUACAGGAAUAAAGUUAGCCACGUGUGGUUAUUUGUAGGUACUGUAUGAAUAAGGACCGGCUAAUUCCGUGCCAGCAGCCGCCGUAA
Molecule: ribosomal RNA, 498 nt
Filed under: uncultured bacterium
Lineage: Bacteria
Description: partial 16S ribosomal RNA
Rfam family: Bacterial small subunit ribosomal RNA
Source: RNAcentral